Molecule: ribosomal RNA, 485 nt
Filed under: Albunea sp.
Lineage: Eukaryota; Metazoa; Arthropoda; Malacostraca; Decapoda; Albuneidae
Description: partial large subunit ribosomal RNA
Rfam family: Bacterial large subunit ribosomal RNA
Source: RNAcentral
CGUCGCCUGUUUAUCAAAAACAUGUCUGCGUGGUAAUUGAAACGCAGUAUGGCCUGCCCGCUGAUAUAGUUGAAGGGCCGCAGUAUCCUGACUGUGCAAAGGUAGCAUAAUCAGUUUCUUAAUUGGGAACUUGUAUGAAUGGUCGGACGAGAAAAAGACUGUUUCUUUCUUAGAUUUUGAAUACUUUUAGGUGCAAAGGCAAUAAGUUUGGGGGACGAUAAGACCCUAUAAAUCUUUACAAUUGUCUUGUCGUUCAAAUAGUUUGUUAGUUUAUAUUUGGCGAUAAUGAUUAGUUGUUUUGCUGGGGCGGCGUUUAUAAAGAAGUUAACUGUUUUAAAAAAAUACAAUUUUUGUUUAAGAUUUAAAGAUCCGAGAUUAGAAGUUAAAGUUACUUUAGGGAUAACAGCGUUAUUUUUUUUAAGAGUUCAUAUAAAAAAAGAUUGCGACCUCGAUGUUGAAUUAAAAUUUCCUAGGGGUGUAGAAGC